CUCUGACCUAAUCCUGGGUGCCUUCCCAUGUGCAGUCGAAAACAGGAACCAGGUGUCUUCUGCUAUCACUUCUGAGAGGAAGCAAAGCAGCCAUGCUUGACUACUCAGUCGUUGGCAUCAUUGUGGUUCUCUCCUUCUGUCAUCCGCAACUUUCUGAGUCCUCCGUUCUCAGUGCGAAUGAGGAAACCAUCCAAGACAGGAACAUCGUAAUACGACGCGUGACUGCAAAUGUCAACUCUACAUCAGUGCGCUGCCCUGAUCUGCAAGAUGACGAGAACAUCACUGUUACGCUGUACAAAACGGCCGUGCUACACUCAACCUUCUUCAGCAGGAUUAAACCACGGAACGAGUCCUCCGAAAAGGAGAGGUUUCAAGUGUCUGUUAAUAAUAACACGGUCCGUUAUUUGAUAGGCUGGCCUCGAGCCAAUGAUACAGGCCUCUACAGCUGCAAUGUCCUCACUGGCCCAGAUAACAGAACAAGCAGGACAAACACCUUUCUAUUUGUUAAAGGUAUUGUGUUGUUACAUACCUUUAAUGGGCAGCAGAAAUACAAUGAGUGUAUAUUUGUAAAGGUGGCCCUAGUUUACACUAUAAUCUGGUUAUUGCUCCCUAGAUCCAGCUCCACAGGAAGGAAAGCCAGUGACAAGCAUGGUCCUGGUAGCAUGUUGCGGGCUGCUGGCUUUGUACAGCCUUAUUGUCACAAUUGUCAUGGGCUCUUUUGUUGUGAGUUGUCAUGCGCACCAAUACACGCAUAUACACAUGCUUGACAAGCCCUAAUACUGAAGUGUUUGCUAGCUCUUUACAAACCUCAAUAUAUAUGACAAAACUGUUUGUUUCACCAUUUGGAAAUAUUAUAAUAUAUGGGAUAGGCAACUCUACAAAGUUGUAAAAAAUGGUAUUUGUGUUUUGGAACUAGUGGAAACUCAAAUGUGUGGAGACACUUAAUCAAAGUGAUUACAUCAGCACACAGCCAGGAGAGUUCCAAAGAGUGAAAUGAGUUCAGCAUCCAGCCGCAGAUGCCAUCUGGCCACAACAGCACAUAACUGACCAAGUGACCAUGACAGUCUAUCCAUAAAACAGCAGUAAUCUAGAACUCUAUGUUUCAAAGACAACUGUCAGCUAUGUAUAAUCAGUGUGCUUAACUGAUUAAGAAACUAUAGUUAUGUUCUGGAUUCUUAUUUGCAAUCUUGUAACCAUUCAGUCUGCCAGAAUACUGUGUCAUUUGUAUUCUAUGUUGUAGUGUUGCAAGUGAGAUUCCCUAAGUAAUGCUCUGAUAUAUGUCAUCUGUGCAGCAUGUGGAUUUGUUGUUUAAGACAGUUGUUGAAUAAAGCAACAUCUGCUUCACAUUGCAUAUUUCUGUCAGAUGAAUUCAUUAACUAUUUUUAUCUCAGCAUAACAAAUUUUGUGCCAAUUAAUAUUAAUCAUCAAUAUCAAUAUCAAAAUAAAACCAAAAUAAAGCUGAU
Molecule: long non-coding RNA, 1463 nt
Organism: Electrophorus electricus (electric eel)
Lineage: Eukaryota; Metazoa; Chordata; Actinopteri; Gymnotiformes; Gymnotidae
Source: Ensembl